RNAcentral lists this ribosomal RNA (462 nucleotides) under uncultured bacterium. Its description in RNAcentral is "bacterial SSU rRNA". It matches the Rfam family "Bacterial small subunit ribosomal RNA", at positions 31 to 507 of the family's 1533-position model. The record is from RNAcentral.
GAACGCUGGCGGCGUGCCUAACACAUGCAAGUCGAACGGAGGUUAGUGCUUCGGUAUUAACCUUAGUGGCGAACGGGUGAGUAACGCGUGAGGAACCUGCCUUUCAGUGGGGGACAACAGUUGGAAACGACUGCUAAUACCGCAUAAAGUUAUUUAAGGGCAUCCUUGAAUAACCAAAGAUUUAUUGCUGAAAGAUGGUCUCGCGUCUGAUUAGCUGGUUGGCGGGGUAACGGCCCACCAAGGCGACGAUCAGUAGCCGGUCUGAGAGGAUGAACGGCCACAUUGGGACUGAGAUACGGCCCAGACUCCUACGGGAGGCAGCAGUGGGGAAUAUUGGGCAAUGGGGGAAACCCUGACCCAGCAACGCCGCGUGAAGGAAGAAGGCCUUCGGGUUGUAAACUUCUUUUACCAGGGACGAAGAAAGUGACGGUACCUGGAGAAAAAGCAACGGCUAACUACGUG